This 2869-nucleotide unclassified non-coding RNA is filed under the name Hevea brasiliensis (rubber tree). Lineage: Eukaryota; Viridiplantae; Streptophyta; Magnoliopsida; Malpighiales; Euphorbiaceae. The record is from RNAcentral.
AAUACAUCCCUUUUUCUCUACCUUAAGUCCUGCAGUUUGAUCUCCCUUAGCCAUGGCCUUUAGGUCACUCACAGCUAAUCCAGGGAUUGGCGCUGGCCAGCAACUGAUCAAGAGUGAUCGCAGCAUGUUAGCUCUUUCCGAUGAGAGUUCAAUGAUAAAACAAAUUCAGGCAACUCAUGCUCCUGAUGGCCGAGAGUUUGAUGUCAGACCUCUCCUCAAUAUUGUUGAAGACAUCCUGAGUCGUGCCACCCUUCAAGUUGAGAGCACUUUGAUGGCUACCCAAGCUCACGCUGAGCCGGAGGACAAGAAUCGUCAAGUCAAUUUCAUUGCCACGCUUGAAGCAUUGUCAUUCGUAAUUGACAGAAUUGCUUGUGAGAUUUCCUACAAGGCUUUUAGCGGAUCAGAUGCCCAUGCCACAACUAUGUCAUUAUUCAACAUGCUUUCAAGCUAUUCCUGGGAUGCGAAGCUAGUGCUGACCAUGGCAGCUUUUGCUUUAAAUUAUGGAGAAUUCUGGCUCCUUGCCCAGAUUUACUCCUCAAAUCCACUUGCCAAAUCAAUGGCAAUCCUCAGGCAAUUGCCUGUAAUCCUGGAACACACAGGCCCAUUGAAGCCUCGGUUUGAAGCACUUAACAAUCUGAUCAGGGUCAUGUUGGAGGUGACUAAGUGCAUAGUUGAUUUCAAGGAAUUACCAUCUAUAUAUAUUUCAACAGAAGUGCCUGCAUUGUCCACAGCCCUUGCCCACAUCCCAACUGCUGUCUACUGGACCAUAAGGAGUGUUGUAGCUUGCGCUACUCAGAUUACCAGUCUCACCACCAUGGGACAUGAGUUUGCAACCACUGAGGCAUGGGAACUCUCCACCUUGGCUCACAAACUCCAAAACAUAAAUGAGCAUCUAAAGAAGCAGCUCUCUAUUUGCCACCAACACAUAGAGGAGAAGAGAAACGUUGAAUCCUAUCAAAUGCUUCUGAAUCUCUUUGAUACAAUUCACAUUGACAACAUGAAGAUCCUGAAGGCCCUGAUUUAUGCCAAGGAUGACAUCCCACCACUUCUUGAUGGCUCUACCAAGAGAAGGGUUAACAUUGAUGUGUUGAGAAGGAGGAAUGUGCUAUUGCUUGUUUCGGGGCUAGACAUUUCCCACGAUGAGCUUUCAAUUCUUGAACAGAUCUACAAUGAGUCCAGGAUACACGCCACCAGGCUGGACAGUCAGUAUGAGGUGGUUUGGAUCCCCAUUGUGGACCGUACAUCCUGGAAUGAUUCUAUCCAAAAGAAGUUUGAGGCCCUGCAGGCUACAAUGCCAUGGUACUCGGUGCACCACCCAUUAAUAAUCGAAAAAGUGGUCAUUAGAUUCAUCAAGGAGGUGUGGCACUUCAGGAACAAGCCCAUUCUGGUGGUGCUUGACCCUCAGGGUAGAGUGGUAUGCCCUAAUGCACUACACAUGAUGUGGAUUUGGGGAAGCAAUGCCUUCCCUUUCACUAGCUUGAGAGAGGAAUCUCUCUGGAAAGAGGAAACAUGGAGGCUUGAGCUUCUGGUUGAUGGCAUUGACCCAACUAUUCUCAACUGGAUUAAAGAAGGAAAGUACAUUUUCUUGUAUGGAGGGGACGAUAUCGAGUGGGUGAGGAAGUUCACUAACGCUGCACGAGCAGUUGCACUGGCAGCACGCAUACCACUCGAGAUGGUUUAUGUGGGGAAGAGCAGCAAGAGGGACAAAGUCCAGCGAGUCAUAGCCACAAUCACCGUUGAGAAGCUCAGCUACGUUUGGCAGGACCUGACCAUGAUAUGGUUCUUUUGGACCAGGCUAGAAAGCAUGCUAUUCUCCAAGAUUCAACUGGGCAAGAUCGAUGAAUAUGAUCCUAUGAUGCAAGAAAUCAAGAAACUGCUUAGCUAUGACAAAGAAGGUGGAUGGGCUGUGCUCAGCAAAGGGCCUGACGUAGUGGUGAAUGGUCACAGCACCACAGUUUUGCCAACAAUACUAGAGUACGAUGUCUGGAAGGAGCAUAUACCAGUUAAAGGAUUUGAUUUGUCCUUCAAAGAACACCACGACAAGCUUCAUGGUGUUGCUCAUCCUUGCUGCCGUUUCGAGUUCCCAAGCACCGCCGGUAGGAUCCCUGAGCACCUGAAAUGCCCUGAGUGCCACCACGUCAUGGAGAAGUACUUCACUUUCCUCUGCUGCCACGAGGAAGGCAUUGCAGAGAUACCACAUUAAAAAUACAGCUACAUCUACAUUGAAUUCCCUGCUAUAUAGCAUUGCUGCUAAAUAAUGAUUGCUUUUAUGGCUCGAAUAUACUGUAACAAGAUUAAUAAAGUUCAUGAAAUUUUCAAAUUCAGCAAUGAGACAGAGAAAGGCUAAUGUCAACCGCAAGUGUGAUGAGGUAAAUAACUCUCUUCAACAUAGCUUAUGACUCUAGUGUAUAUCUCCCAUAGCUAUUCCUAUACUAGUUGUACUUCUCUAUAGAUAGACUUAUGUAUUCAAUGGACUUCCUCUGUAACCUUGUAUAUAUUCGUUGAGUGAUAUACAGUAUAGAGCUUUCAGUUUCCACGUGGUAUAAGAGCUUUAAGGCUCAUGCCAUCUUAACCAUAACUGACGCUUAAAUUGUCCCAACGAACUUGUCUUUUUCAACCAUUCCAAAUGUUUCCCAGUUUCUUCCCAUUAAGUUAACAUCUUCGAAUUAUAUAUUGUGGAAAACACAACUAUUUCCCUUGCUUCACGGAUACAAUUGGACCUGUUGACAAGAGCUCAUAUGCAAGAUUAUAAAGGGAUUUCUUCACCCGCCACACCAAAUGACAAACUGUCUCUGCAUGCAUGUUGGUGAACCAUAUUGUGAUUAUAGUUUAUACUGCACCAUUGACGUUUCAUUUGUUGUAAAUAAAG